RNAcentral lists this ribosomal RNA (239 nucleotides) under uncultured bacterium. RNAcentral's name for it is "partial 16S ribosomal RNA". It matches the Rfam family "Bacterial small subunit ribosomal RNA", at positions 15 to 253 of the family's 1533-position model. The record is from RNAcentral.
GAUCCUGGCUCAGGAUGAACGCUGGCGGCGUGCUUAACACAUGCAAGUCGAACGAGAAAGCACCUUCGGGUGUGAGUAGAGUGGCGAACGGGUGAGUAACACGUGAGCAACCUGCCUCUCACUUCGGAAUAACUCAGGGAAACCUGUGCUAAUACCGGAUACUCCGUACAUUCCGCAUGCUAUGUACGGGAAAGCCUUGUGCGGUGAGAGAUGGGCUCGCGGCCCAUUAGGUAGUUGGG